AGUGGAUGGGGAGCAACCUAGUUGUGCGUGUGUAAAGGUAGUGCCAAGAAAAGCUAUGAUCAUGUUGAAAAUCAAUUCCCGGUACCCGAAACCGACACAGGUGGGCAAGUAGAGAAUACUAAGGGGCGCGAGGUAACUCUCUCCAAGGAACUCGGCAAAAUGACCCCGUAACUUAGGGAGAAGGGGUGCCACCGAGAGGUGGUCGCAGUGAAGAGGCCCAGGCGACUGUUUAGCAAAAACAUAGGUCUCUGCAAACUCGAAAGAGGAGGUAUAGGGGCUGACGCCUGCCCAGUGCCGGAAGGUUAAAGAAGUUGGUCAGUCUUAGGAUGAAGCUAGCGACUGAAGCCCCGGUGAACGGCGGCCGUAACUAUAACGGUCCUAAGGUAGCGAAAUUCCUUGUCGGGUAAGUUCCGACCCGCACGAAAGGCGUAACGAUCUGGGCGCUGUCUCGGAGAGAGGCUCGGCGAAAUAGGAUUGUCUGUGAAGAUACGGACUACCUGCAUUUGGACAGAAAGACCCUAUGAAGCUUUACUAUAGCUUGGAAUUGUGUUCGGGCUUCCUGUGCGCAGGAUAGGUGGGAGGCGAAGAAGGUAUUCUUGUGGGGAUACUGGAGCCAACGGUGAGAUACCACUCUCAGGAGGCUAGAAUUCUAACUUAAUUAAGGACAGUUUCAGGUGGGUAGUUUGACUGGGGCGGUCGCCUCCAAAAAGGUAACGGAGGCGUACAAAGGUUCCCUCAGACUGGUUGGAAAUCAGUCGAAGAGUGCAAAGGCAGAAGGGAGCUUGACUGCGAGAAGUACAGUUCGAGCAGGGUGGAAACACGGUCUUAGUGAUCCGACGGUGCUGUGUGGAAGGGCCGUCGCUCAACGGAUAAAAGUUACUCUAGGAUAACAGGCUGAUCUCCCCCAAGAGUUCACAUCGACGGGGAGGUUUGGCACCUCGAUGUCGGCUCAUCGCAACCUGGGGCGGAAGUACGUCCCAAGGGUUGGGCUGUUCGCCCAUUAAAGCGGUACGUGAGCUGGGUUCAGAACGUCGUGAGACAGUUCGGUCCAUAUCCGAUGUAGGCGUGAGAAUAUUGAGAGGAGCCUUCCUUAGUACGAGAGGACCGGGAAGGACGCACCGCUGGUGUACCUGUUAUGAUGCCAAUUGUAAACGCAGGGUAGCCAAGUGCGGAGAGGAUAACCGCUGAAAGCAUCUAAGUGGGAAGCCCACCUCAAGAUGAGUAUUCUGGUGUAAGGUCACGGGAAGACUACCCGUAAAUAGGCACGAGGUGGAAGUGCAGAGAUGUAUGAAGCCGAAGUGUACUAAUAGACCGUCGGCUU
RNAcentral lists this ribosomal RNA (1321 nucleotides) under metagenome. RNAcentral describes it as "bacterial LSU rRNA". It matches the Rfam family "Bacterial large subunit ribosomal RNA", at positions 1561 to 2925 of the family's 2925-position model. The record is from RNAcentral.